AAUAAAAACAAGAAGAUGGAAUAUGUAGAAUUAAUUUUUUUGAGGCUCUUAUCCAUUAAGAU
This 62-nucleotide small RNA is filed under the name Arabidopsis thaliana (thale cress). RNAcentral describes it as "ATSL290090". The record is from RNAcentral. Lineage: Eukaryota; Viridiplantae; Streptophyta; Magnoliopsida; Brassicales; Brassicaceae.